GCUCUCAUAGUAUAAUGGUCAGUACACGUGAUUCUCAGUCAUGAGGUCGGGGUUCAAUUCCCCGUGGGAGUAC
RNAcentral lists this transfer RNA (73 nucleotides) under Microbacterium phage A3Wally. RNAcentral describes it as "tRNA-Leu". It matches the Rfam family "tRNA". Rfam says of the family: Transfer RNA (tRNA) molecules are approximately 80 nucleotides in length. Their secondary structure includes four short double-helical elements and three loops (D, anti-codon, and T loops). RNAcentral also lists the same sequence under 1 other name. The record is from RNAcentral. Lineage: Duplodnaviria; Heunggongvirae; Uroviricota; Caudoviricetes.